UCUUAGUGUCUAUAUUUGUCUGUGGAAGGGGGCUGGGCCUGGGCCGGCUGGGGUCUCAUGCCCACCGCUAUACUGAGGGGUUGAAGGUCAUUCCCAUGUUGAGGAGGGCAGUUCCCAGAAGGCAAGAGAAGGGGGCCAGAGAUGCUGAGUGAACCAACUGGGUUCACUGCUGGGUGUUUGGAGACCAGCCUCCCACAGGGGACGAGUUACAGGGGCACCUGCUGAGAGGUCGGAGACAGGGACCAGCGGAGACGGAGGAGGAAUAUUGAAAGAAAGAAAAAAAAAAGAGCCUCUAAAAACCCCACACACCAACAACCUCAGAACUCUGACUCUGAAACUUGGAAAUGUUACCUAAAUUCUGACAAGAAAGGGCUUGUACAUCUCUUUGUGUUCAGAAUCGGCUGCUGGAGAGCCCAGAGCUUUCUCGAGGCUGUGCCCUACAGAUUCAUUUCGGAUUUGACAUUUAGAAGAAUGUUCCACCCACGGCUCUUCUUUGUGAGACGAGAGUAUCUGUGAACUUAAUAUUCAGGUGGAUAAAUAGAUUGCUUGGAGAAAAUGAUCCCCUCUGAAAUGCUGUCCCCUGGCACUUGUCUUUUGGUCUUGUUUUGUUUUGUUUUCUUUAGGAGAACUGUGAGGGAAAGAAAGCAAAAUGCAGAAAUCCUCUGUGAUAUCCUCACUGCCCACGAUGUUCCCAGCUCAGAUGAGGCAUGGAAAGACCGAGUCUCGAAGGAUGGAUACCUUCCCCAAGGAAUGUAUCGGAGCCACCAGCGGCAGAGUUGGAAUUCGACUCCAGAACACCUGGCCCCCUCCUCCUGACCACCCCACCCGCUCCCUGCCUUCAGACACCCGGGAGGCCCCUCUCCUCCCAGAAGCUGCUCUCCCUGUAUCACCGGUGAGCGGGGUUUGCCUGAAGUAAUUGAUUGAACGUUACCCAGAAGCGGAAGCCAACCAAAGAGAGACGGCCACACUGUCCUUUCCAGAAAACCCAGCCCUGUCCGUCCCUGGCUCUCACUUCCCGGCACCCUCACUUGCGCAGCUUAGAAACGGUAAGCAGCAUGUUCCUCUUCCAAACAUACUUUGGCGAAAUAUGCAUGGCUCUGAAAACAAGGCCUGGCCACCUCCCGGGUGGAGCCCUGGGGAACUUGUCUCCUUGGUCUCCUAUUCUUGAUAACCUGACCCGGCCGCCUGCCCAGGUACAGAUUCCCUGCCCUGGGCGUGUGGCCGGUUCUCUGAGCUCCAUGCCUGCUGGGGACGAGGGGCGAAGAGCAUGCUGGCACCACGAGCUCAGGAGGGAAGGCACACGGUCCCCCAGGCCAGUGGCCGCGGCAGGAUGUCUUUCCCGGGUGACUCACCCAGACUCACAUGGGUCCCACGUCCCUGGGCGCCAGCUGGGCCCAGAUGGCCAAGAGGGGAGGCAGGGUCUUUCCACAGCUUUGCUCAGGAUUGAUGCUCAAGCCCCAGCUGAGGGACAGGGCGUCCUCGUCAGAAGGCUUGGCAGAGGCUCUCUUUACGAAGGGACUUAACCCACGAUUGCGGAAUGGAUGUGGCCUGACAUUAAGAUGUUUUAUGACUCUGAUUAAGCAGGAGGGGGGAGCUGGAGAGAGGUGGUGAUUAAUCCUCCCACGGAGGAGCUGGCCCCCAUCAUCCCCACUAGACAGAGAGGCUGGACAGCAGGGGAUGAUUGCCGCU
Herpailurus yagouaroundi (jaguarundi) is the source of this 1689-nucleotide long non-coding RNA. RefSeq lists it as uncharacterized. The record is from RefSeq and is a predicted model, not a curated record. NCBI's taxonomy places the organism in Eukaryota, Metazoa, Chordata, Mammalia, Carnivora, Felidae. The transcript has 3 exons.